This 450-nucleotide ribosomal RNA is filed under the name Systasis sp. RDB-1999. RNAcentral describes it as "eukaryotic LSU rRNA". Lineage: Eukaryota; Metazoa; Arthropoda; Insecta; Hymenoptera; Systasidae. The record is from RNAcentral.
CCUGAGAAACCCAAAAGAUCGAAUGGGGAGAUUCAUCGUAAGCGACGUUGGCUUCCGUGUGGUGUUGCGAUGAUCGGGACCUCGGUCCCGUGUCACGCUGCCGCUGCGGUAUGUCUGGCGUCGCCGGCGUGCACUUCUCCCCUAGUAGGACGUCGCGACCCGUUGGGUGCCGGCCUACGGCCCGGACGGUCGACUGUCGCGUCGCGUUUACGCGUGCGCGCGGCAGACCUCUGGUCGCCCGGCCGGCUGCCCGGCGGUAUAGAUCGCUAUUAACGGUAUUGGGCCGCACAAAGUGCGUUCAGGCUCGUCGGCAGGCUAGCCUCGCUCGGAUUUACGGACCUAGUGCCGUUGCUUGGGCUUGGUUGGCCGUUAGUCGGCGAUGUCCUCGGACUGGCUCGUUACAUUCGAACGGAUAUACCGGUCAGCGACGCUACUGCUUUGGGUACUUUC